Long non-coding RNA from Lycium ferocissimum, 4199 nucleotides. RefSeq lists it as uncharacterized. The record is from RefSeq and is a predicted model, not a curated record. The transcript has 2 exons. NCBI's taxonomy places the organism in Eukaryota, Viridiplantae, Streptophyta, Magnoliopsida, Solanales, Solanaceae.
GGCCAUAAUUUAAUUGUCAGUACAUUAUUCUAUAGAGUUAAUUGCUCAAUUGCUGGGAAUAAAUACUUCAUUAGCGGCAAUUAAAAACAAUAGCCACUAAACUUAUGCUUUCCGCUAUCAUUGUAUUAUAUUUUAUCUUCUUUUUUUUUUUUUUUCUUUCUGAAUCAUUAGUAUUUUAACUUCCCUCCAAUAUUUUUGGCACGCUAAAUAUUCCCUCCAAAAAAAUAUUCUCUCUUUUAGAAUCAAUUUACUCAUAUUUCCAGCCAAAACCCUAGCAGCCAAAAUCGAUGAGCGACUUGAACUUUCUGCGACAAUAUCUUCUCCAUCUCUUUCUCAGACAAGCUUGUUGUCCUUCUAUACUAUUGACAGGUAUAUAAUAUUUAAAAUACUUCUAUCAUCUCCUACAAGUAAUUCAAGUUGGCUAGGUAGUUCACAUAUUACAGAAAAUAGUUAUGGUAGGUAAACAUACAUCUUUAUCAUUUCUUUAUCAUGAGCAAAGGUACGUCUUUUCUCAUUGUCAAGGUUUCUUACUGAGCCUUUGGUCUUAUUAAUCUUAAUGUUGGACAAUUUUUCAUUAUAAAUUCACUUGAAUGUUGGACUCACUUGUAUUUUCUUUUUCUAAUUAUUUGAGGUCCUAUUGAAACCUGUGAAAUGUAAUUUACCUUUUAGGGACUCACAUUGGUAUUGCUUGGUUUUUAUUCCCUAUGUGCUAUUGAGCAUUUACAUUGUCACGAACUUAAAAUUCUCGAGGGUUUAUGAUAGCUUCAUGAGUGAGGUGAAAUUUUCCUUAUUUUUAACUACAAGAUACCAGAAAGUAUUGCUACUAUGUUAACAAUACUGUUUUUGAUAAAAAAAGAAUUGCUACUAUGUUCUUAUAUUUGCGAUAACACUGAUAUUUCUGUAGAUUUUGCACCUGCAUAUUUAUUUGUUCUUUUCCGGAUUUAGCUUUAAGUGGCUGAAAAUGAUCAAAUGAGGCUAAGGAUUUUGAAGAAAAGUAUUUAUGGUGAUCAAUAGUGCCGUGAGUUGGACACUUGACAACCUUUUCUCCAGUUAAUUAAGCUUCUAUAUAUUGUCUCCAUGCAGAAUAUGCUUCUCUUCCUUUAAACGGGGAAGAGAAACGACAGUAACUACUUUUAAUAAAAAAGUCUAUCAUAUCUCAUAUAGGCACCUUGUAAGUCACAUGUUGUUUCCUUAGUAUGUUCAUAGAUGAAAUAUGGAGAGAUCAUUCUUUUUAAUAAAAGUAAAAGUGAUGGAAAAUAUCCCGGUAUAAGAUGAGAUAUUUCAUUGAAAAUCAGAAAGAAGCACUUAAUACAGUUAGUUGCACAUGACUCUAUUUGACAAACCUCUUUCUGUAUUCUCAUAUGCAAAAACAGGUAGAUGAAAUGCUUAGCUGUUGAGAAUACAUAAUACAACUUUAAAAGUAAUCCCUUCCUUGCUCCCCUUCCCUGAAUAAUUACAAACAGGUCAUGUAUAUACCUACAUAUUUGUGUGUGUCCAUGAGUGAGUGACAGAGAAGAAGGAAAUGGUAAAGCAGAAAGUACUUCCACAGUUUUUGUUUUAUCCAAAAAUUUAAUUGGUAAACAUUCUCUGAUUUAUAACGUUAGUUCCAUGUUAUGAUGCUACUGUUUGCCUCUCCUUAUGGAACUCCACCAAUUUCUAUCUUAGAUCCUAUGGUAUAAGUUCACAAAAUGAUUUCACGUUGACCUUCAGUAUUUUUUAUCUCCACUCCUAAUAAAGUUUCUUUUGAGUCUGAUAAUUUUCACAUUAUAUUAGACGUAGAUGAACAAUUUGUUUUUGAAUAGAUUUCAUUUUUUGACAAUAACUUGUUUUAUUAUUUCAGGUCAACACAACAUGAUGUUCAAAUAGCAUGUGGAAGAUUUCAAUAAUAUGAGAUUUGCUAGAAUUGAAUGAAGGAUAUGCAUUUAGAAAUUUGUUAUUGCGAUUAUUCGAUAGGAAUAUUUACAAUGACAUUAGCUAUUUAGUUUUUUUUAUUAAAUUGGCAUUACAAAUUAGUUCUUGCUUUUUUUUUAUCUUGAGUUAAUGAAUACAAUAUUUUUUCAAGAAUUAUAGUAGCAAGUUUUAUUAGCAUUUACCAUUAUAAUUGUCACAAGUUUUAUUAGUAAUUCCAUUCUAGAAAUGGGUUUAGAACACAUUACAAUAGUCGCCGCACAAUAGCUGCUAAAGCAUGUAACUUUUAGUAGCUAUUUAUUUGGUUUUGGUGACAAUAAAAAUAGAUGCUAAAAGUGUUAAUUGAACCAUUUUGGGAAUGAGUUUAGCUGAAAUUUUAUUGGAUUUAGCGGCAAUUUGAUUGAACGUUAAAAGGUUGCUCGAGUCAUUUUGGGAACGGAUUUAGCGGCCAUUAUAAUUACCGCUACACAAUUGCACUCACUUAAGCCUCUUGUUGGAAUAUUGUGAUUUAUGGUUUGCUCCAAAGCUUGUUCGUGUAUUUAUAUAGAAGUAGUUGUCGCCGUCAUCAUUAAAUCCAAGCAGGUUUUGGUUUCAUUAAUUGUACCCGAAAAUCAAACCUUGUUUGAACUUGGAUCUUCCUUUCUUUCCUUGUAUGUGCGUCAGCUUCCUUGUCAUACUUCAAAUGAUUUAAAUGGCAUUAUUAUUGUAAUUAGAAUUGUAUCUCUUUUUGAACUUUUGAUUUUCAGCGCUAGAAUACAUUGCAGCUUCUACAUCACUUAUCCCUUGAACUAUCCCAGAGACUGAGCUAAACAAACUAGUUGAGUUAGUUGAACUGCCUAUAGCUCUUUAAUUUUCAUCACUUACUAUCAUAGAGUAUGCUUGAUUAACAUUUUGUAAAGGACUCAUCAGAAGGAUGUGACUCCCUGCUUGGGCAAAUGACUCAUUCAAUCCUAUGAGAAACUUAUAAAAUUUAUGUCUCUAUAGAUAUAGAACAAAGUCCUUUGACCUCUCACAGUAGCAUCGAGGUGCAGUAACCAUAGACUAAAACUCAUCCCAACGUUCUUUCAAUUUAGAAUAAUCUAGAGACACAGGCUGAGUAUUGUAGCAAUUUCUUGAUGGAUAUUAAAUGACCUUGAACCUUCAACAUUUUCAAAUAUCUCUUUAGAUAUUCCCACACAGCUUGUGCAUUUGCUGCUAAACUACACCACCAAUCAAAUUGCUAGCUACUGAAUUCAUAAGCCAGGAAAGCACAAUAGUAUUCACACCCUCUUAUGGAUCCCAUAGAGUUUCAAGAUAAUUUUCUUUCUUGCAAUUUUUGUUUACAAAACCUAGUUUAUUCCUUCCUGAAAGUGCAAUUCUGAUAGAUUUAAUCCAGAGAGUAUAAUUCUGAUUCCCUUUCAAUUGAAAAAAAAUUAUAGCAACUCCACCGGCAUAUGUGAAUUGAAGAAAUAAAGGAUGAUAGUAAUUGAUCACUUCUGUAUGAGUAUUGAUUGAUCCAGUCGAUGUACUUGCAUCGGUCGGUACUAUGCCCGAAUUUCCAUUAGCCCCUAUUGAAAUUGAACUCUUUAAUAACAAUAAAAUUCCUUCGAAUGACUGAAUUCUGUGAUGUUGCGAUUGAAUUUUAGCAAUGGCAAUAUAUGAAAUACUUAAGUGAUGACCAGAAUUGGUUAGGCUACUUUGAUACCAUGAAGUUAUCAAAGGACUCAACAAUGGAACCCUAACAAGAUCAAGAGAAGAACCAAGAGAAUUGAGCGAGAAAAGAGCGUAUGAGAGAUACUAUUCCUGUUAAUAGAAGACUACACAUUGAUGUCCUAUUUAUAGUUGAGUACCUAAUUACCUAACGAAUCACUACAAGGUGUAAUGACUAAAAUACCCUUACAGCUAUACAAUUGUAUUGGGCUAAAUUCAUAGAAUACAGCUGAAUGAAUACCAUGAUGAUACGUGUCAGUGGAUAUAGUUCAAGUGAAAGUCAGCAUUCAAAGCCUCCGAAAGAGGCUUAGUGGCUCCGAAGACACUAAAGGGUCCGGAUGCCCGUUGAAGUAGCAUCAGUUGGAAGGCUAACGGUCAACCGUUACAAAUAAGCCUUGCACCUUCCACGGGGCAUUCAUCAGCAUUAUUGUCCUCUUUAUUACUCAUCAUUACUAUGGCAUUAAUUUGUAUUAUUAGUAGGGGAAUGGUUCAUGGUUCAUGGAGCAUGUGUCCCCUUAGCUCAAGUAUAAAUAGGGCUUCUCAUUUUAUUGUAACAGGAACAUGGAAUCCAAGAGAUUUAUACAACAUACAUUUCACACUUG